This 66-nucleotide transfer RNA is filed under the name Dipodomys ordii (Ord's kangaroo rat). It matches the Rfam family "tRNA". From Rfam's summary of the family: Transfer RNA (tRNA) molecules are approximately 80 nucleotides in length. Their secondary structure includes four short double-helical elements and three loops (D, anti-codon, and T loops). The record is from Rfam by way of RNAcentral. Lineage: Eukaryota; Metazoa; Chordata; Mammalia; Rodentia; Heteromyidae.
GGUGGCUCAGGGGGUAGAGCACUUGCCUUGCAUGCAUGAGGCCCUGGGUUCGAUUCCUCAGUACCA